AGGACCAGGAAUGCCCCCUGUACCAGG
Molecule: unclassified non-coding RNA, 27 nt
Filed under: Mus musculus (house mouse)
Lineage: Eukaryota; Metazoa; Chordata; Mammalia; Rodentia; Muridae
Description: oocyte_clustered_small_RNA3127
Source: RNAcentral